This 483-nucleotide ribosomal RNA is filed under the name uncultured bacterium. RNAcentral describes it as "bacterial SSU rRNA". It matches the Rfam family "Bacterial small subunit ribosomal RNA", at positions 24 to 518 of the family's 1533-position model. The record is from RNAcentral.
UCAGGAUGAACGCUGGCGGCGUGCUUAACACAUGCAAGUCGAACGGAGUUAGAUGAAACCUAGUGAUUCUAAACUUAGUGGCGGACGGGUGAGUAACGCGUGGGUAACCUGCCAUAUACAGGGGGAUAACACUUAGAAAUAGGUGCUAAUACCGCAUAAGCGCACAGGACCGCAUGGUCUGGUGUGAAAAACUCCGGUGGUAUAUGAUGGACCCGCGUCUGAUUAGCUAGUUGGUGAGGUAACGGCCCACCAAGGCGACGAUCAGUAGCCGGCCUGAGAGGGUGAACGGCCACAUUGGGACUGAGACACGGCCCAAACUCCUACGGGAGGCAGCAGUGGGGAAUAUUGCACAAUGGGGGAAACCCUGAUGCAAGCGACGCCGCGUGAGUGAAGAAGUAUUUCGGUAUGUAAAGCUCUAUCAGCAGGAAAGAAAAUGACGGUACCUGACUAAGAAGCCCCGGCUAACUACGUGCCAGCAGCCGC